This 1934-nucleotide long non-coding RNA is filed under the name Oncorhynchus kisutch (coho salmon). Its description in RNAcentral is "lncRNA (ENSOKIG00005037322.1)". The record is from RNAcentral. Lineage: Eukaryota; Metazoa; Chordata; Actinopteri; Salmoniformes; Salmonidae.
AUGCUGCCUUGGCCCUCCUGUUCAAGGCCUGUCGCCUCCGCCGAGGCAAGGGCGCCUGUCGCCUCCGCCGAGGCAAGGGCGCCUGUCGCCUCCGCCGAGGCAAGGGCGCCUGUCGCCUCCGCCGAGGCAAGGGCGCCUGUCGCCUCCGCCGAGGCAAGGGCGCCUGUCGCCUCCGCCGAGGCAAGGGCGCCUGUCGCCUCCGCCGAGGCAAGGGCGCCUGUCGCCUCCGCCGAGGCAAGGGCGCCUGUCGCCUCCGCCGAGGCAAGGGCGCCUGUCGCCUCCGCCGAGGCAAGGGCGCCUGUCGCCUCCGCCGAGGCAAGGGCGCCUGUCGCCUCCGCCGAGGCAAGGGCGCCUGUCGCCUCCGCCGAGGCAAGGGCGCCUGUCGCCUCCGCCGAGGCAAGGGCGCCUGUCGCCUCCGCCGAGGCAAGGGCGCCUGUCGCCUCCGCCGAGGCAAGGGCGCCUGUCGCCUCCGCCGAGGCAAGGGCGCCUGUCGCCUCCGCCGAGGCAAGGGCGCCUGUCGCCUCCGCCGAGGCAAGGGCGCCUGUCGCCUCCGCCGAGGCAAGGGCGCCUGUCGCCUCCGCCGAGGCAUUUGAAACAGAUUCCGAACUUGAGGUACCGUGGCCGGUUGCUUCCGCUGCAGAAGCAAAGUGGCCGGUUGUUUCACCAAACGUAUUUAGGCCAGUCGUGGCGCUUGAUGAAGCACUGUGGCCAGAUGCUUCACCUAAGGUAUUUGGGCCAGCUGCCACACUUGUCGAGGCAUUAUGGGUGGCCGCUUGCGUGGCACUGUGGCCAGUUGCUUCCUCUGCAGAGGCACUGUGGCCAGUUACUUCACCUGAGGCACUUGGGCCAGUCGUGGCGCUUGAUGAAGCAUUGUGGCCAGUUGCUUCAGCUAAGGUAUUUGGGCCAGUCGUGACGCUUGCUGAGAUAUUAUGGGUUGCUGCUUCUGCUGAGGCACGGGAGUCGUCUCCUUCACCCAAGGUAUUUGGGCCAGUCGUGAUGCUUGCUGAGGUAUUAUGGGUUGCUGCUUCUGCUGAGGCACAGGAGUCGGAUACUUCACCCAAGGUAUUUGGGCCAGUCGUGACGCUUGCAGAGGCAUUGUGGUUGGCCGCUUCUGAGGCAUUAUGAGUGGCCGUUUGCAUGGCACUGUGUCCAGUUGCUUCCGCUGCCGAGGCACCGUGGCCAGUUGCUUCACCUAAGGUAUUUGGGACAGUCGUGGCGCUUGAUGAAGCAUUGUGGCCAGUUGCUUCAGCUAAGGUAUUUGGGCCAGUCGUGACGCUUGCAGAGGCAUUAUGGGUGAUCGCUUGCGCGGCACUGUGGCCAGUUGCUUCAGCUAAGGCAUUUGGGACAGUCGUGGCGCUUGAUGAAGCAUUGUGGCCAGUUGCUUCAGCUAAGGUAUUUGGGCCAGUCGUGACGCUUGCAGAGGCAUUAUGGGUGGCUGCUUCACCUGCUGAGGCACGGGAGCCAGUAGCUUCCGCUGCAUUGUGGCCAGUUCCUUUUACUUGAUUUUGGGGAAUAUAUCUAUAAUUACCUACAAAAGAAAAUAAUAUGUUUCAAAUCGUAAAAUGCCAGCAUUUGAAGCCAUUUAAUUUCACUGAAUUAAAUGUGCAGAACAAAACACACCUUUAGGUGGAGGAUAACAGGUUAUCCCUCCAAUUAGCAGGCAACAAAUCCAAGAAAUUCUAAAUAAAAACAAAAACAUCCUAGUCAGUUAAAUACAACUACCUGUAAAACAUGGAAGACAAGGGAAUCAAACUAGAGCCAUACAACUUACCUCAAAGACAUUUCAAAACUCACAGACAUUUUUCUCAUCAAAACCUCAGUAGUCAGAACUAAUGGUAGCCAGAAGCCUUACCAGGAGAUCCCUGAUAUUGUAUCUGAUUGUCUUUUUUGCUGCGCCUUACAAAGGAAUCCUAGACCCUUCUAAUUUGGCUGGU